This 652-nucleotide ribosomal RNA is filed under the name uncultured Pseudomonadota bacterium. RNAcentral describes it as "bacterial SSU rRNA". It matches the Rfam family "Bacterial small subunit ribosomal RNA", at positions 71 to 719 of the family's 1533-position model. The record is from RNAcentral. Lineage: Bacteria; Pseudomonadati; Pseudomonadota.
GAAGAGAGCUUGCUCUCUGAUUCAGCGGCGGACGGGUGAGUAAUGCCUAGGAAUCUGCCUGGUAGUGGGGGACAACGUCUCGAAAGGGACGCUAAUACCGCAUACGUCCUACGGGAGAAAGCAGGGGACCUUCGGGCCUUGCGCUAUCAGAUGAGCCUAGGUCGGAUUAGCUAGUUGGUGAGGUAAUGGCUCACCAAGGCGACGAUCCGUAACUGGUCUGAGAGGAUGAUCAGUCACACUGGAACUGAGACACGGUCCAGACUCCUACGGGAGGCAGCAGUGGGGAAUAUUGGACAAUGGGCGAAAGCCUGAUCCAGCCAUGCCGCGUGUGUGAAGAAGGUCCUCGGAUUGUAAAGCACUUUAAGUUGGGAGGAAGGGUUGUAGAUUAAUACUCUGCAAUUUUGACGUUACCGACAGAAUAAGCACCGGCUAACUCUGUGCCAGCAGCCGCGGUAAUACAGAGGGUGCAAGCGUUAAUCGGAAUUACUGGGCGUAAAGCGCGCGUAGGUGGUUUGUUAAGUUGGAUGUGAAAGCCCCGGGCUCAACCUGGGAACUGCAUUCAAAACUGACAAGCUAGAGUAUGGUAGAGGGUGGUGGAAUUUCCUGUGUAGCGGUGAAAUGCGUAGAUAUAGGAAGGAACACCAGUGGCGAA